RNAcentral lists this ribosomal RNA (497 nucleotides) under uncultured bacterium. RNAcentral's name for it is "partial 16S ribosomal RNA". It matches the Rfam family "Bacterial small subunit ribosomal RNA", at positions 28 to 507 of the family's 1533-position model. The record is from RNAcentral.
GAUGAACGCUGGCGGCGUGCCUAAUACAUGCAAGUCGAGCGAACAGACGAUGAGCUUUCUCCUCUGACGUUAGCGGCUGACGGGUGAGUAACACGUGGAUAACCUACCUAUUAUACUGGGAUAACUUCGGGAAACCGGAGCUAAUACCGGAUAAUAUAUUGAACCGCAUGGUUCAAUAGUUCAAGACGCUUUUGCUGUCACUUAUAGAUGGAUCCGCGCCGCAUUAGCUAGUUGGUAAGGUAACGGCUUACCAAGGCAACGAUGCGUAGCUGACCUGAGAGGAUGAUCGGCCACACUGGAACUGAGACACGGUCCAGACUCCUACGGGAGGCAGCAGUAGGGAAUCUUCCGCAAUGGGCGAAAGCCUGAUGGAGCAACGCCGCGUGAGUGAUGAAGGUCUUCGGAUCGUAAAACUCUGUUAUUAGGGAAGAACAAAUGUGUAAGUAACUAUGCACGUCUUGACGGUACUUAAUCAGAAAGCCACGGCUAACUACGUG